RNAcentral lists this ribosomal RNA (394 nucleotides) under uncultured bacterium. Its description in RNAcentral is "bacterial SSU rRNA". It matches the Rfam family "Bacterial small subunit ribosomal RNA", at positions 505 to 898 of the family's 1533-position model. The record is from RNAcentral.
GUGCCAGCCGCCGCGGUAAUACGGAAGGGGCUAGCGUUGUUCGGAAUUACUGGGCGUAAAGCGCGCGCAGGCGGUUCGGCAAGUGAGGCGUGAAAGGCCUGGGCUCAACCUGGGAACGGCGUUUCAGACUGCUGGGCUGGAGUUCGGGAGAGGGUGGUGGAAUUCCCAGUGUAGAGGUGAAAUUCGUAGAUAUUGGGAGGAACACCGGUGGCGAAGGCGGCCGCCUGGCCCGUAACUGACGCUAUAGCGCGAAAGCGUGGGGAGCAAACAGGAUUAGAUACCCUGGUAGUCCACGCUGUAAACGAUGAGUGCUAGAUGUCGGGACGCUUAGCGUUUCGGUGUCGUAGCUAACGCGUUAAGCACUCCGCCUGGGGAGUACGGCCGCAAGGUUAAA